Molecule: ribosomal RNA, 253 nt
Filed under: uncultured prokaryote
Description: partial 16S ribosomal RNA
Rfam family: Bacterial small subunit ribosomal RNA
Source: RNAcentral
ACGAACUGUGCGUACGUUAUUCGGAAUCACUGGGCUUAAAGGGUGCGUAGGCGGCGGCACAAGUCAGGUGUGAAAUCCCCCGGCUCAACCGGGGAACAGCGCUUGAAACUAGGUCGCUCGAGUGAGGCAGGGGUGUAUGGAACUUCCGGUGGAGCGGUGAAAUGUGUAGAGAUCGGAAGGAACGCCGGCGGCGAAAGCGGUACGCUGGGCCUUGUCUGACGCUGAGGCACGAAAGCUAGGGGAGUGAACGGGA